AGUUUCAUAGUUUAAAAAUUGAAAAUAUCAGGCUGCAAUUCUGAAGAUACAUUUAAUGUUGAGGCUU
Molecule: transfer RNA, 67 nt
Filed under: Squilla empusa
Lineage: Eukaryota; Metazoa; Arthropoda; Malacostraca; Stomatopoda; Squillidae
Description: tRNA-Cys
Rfam family: tRNA
About the family: Transfer RNA (tRNA) molecules are approximately 80 nucleotides in length. Their secondary structure includes four short double-helical elements and three loops (D, anti-codon, and T loops).
Source: RNAcentral